This is a non-coding RNA of Myotis lucifugus (little brown bat), 63 nucleotides long. The record is from Rfam. Lineage: Eukaryota; Metazoa; Chordata; Mammalia; Chiroptera; Vespertilionidae.
GGCCUCCCUCUGUGGGGCAAUCGAUCAGGGGCCUCCAGAUUGAUCGCCCCACAGAGGGAGGCC